AUUGAACGCUGGCGGCAUGCCUUACACAUGCAAGUCGAACGGUAACGCGGGGCAACCUGGCGACGAGUGGCGAACGGGUGAGUAAUGCAUCGGAACGUGCCCAGUAGUGGGGGAUAGCCCGGCGAAAGCCGGAUUAAUACCGCAUACGACCUACGGGUGAAAGGGGGGGAUCGCAAGACCUCUCGCUAUUGGAGCGGCCGAUGUCAGAUUAGGUAGUUGGUGGGGUAAAGGCCUACCAAGCCUACGAUCUGUAGCUGGUCUGAGAGGACGACCAGCAACACGGGGACUGAGACACGGCCCAGACUCCUACGGGAGGAAGCAGUGGGGAAUUUUGGACAAUGGGCGCAAGCCUGAUCCAGCCAUGCCGCGUGCGGGAAGAAGGCCUUCGGGUUGUAAACCGCUUUUGUCAGGGAAGAAAAGCUCCGGGCUAAUACCUCGGGGUCAUGACGGUACCUGAAGAAUAAGCACCGGCUAACUACGUGCCAGCCGCCGCCAUAA
Molecule: ribosomal RNA, 498 nt
Filed under: uncultured bacterium
Lineage: Bacteria
Description: partial 16S ribosomal RNA
Rfam family: Bacterial small subunit ribosomal RNA
Source: RNAcentral